AUGGGGAGGCCAAAAGGGAGAUGGAGUGGGAAGGUAAUCUUCCCCUUGAGUCUGGUCGCCCUUUGCCGAAUUCCAUGUUGUCCAGCUGUUAAUGGCCUGCAGAAGUCCACUGGUACCUGUCGGUGUGCUCUUCUGUUCCUUGUAGUACUCUUGAGAGAACUCUGGUUAAUCUUAGGGCUAUGCUUCUUAAACAGGGUUUACAGAGGUUUUGAAAGCCACAGAAUAAAUGUAGCACAUUAUCCUGGAGAGUCUUUACUAGAGAUUUGGGGUAAAAAUCAUCUUUCUUGAUAUUAAAAGGAAGAACACAUGCAUUGUGAAUUGGAAGGCAACAAUAAUGUGAAUUUUUAAUAUAAAACCAGAGGUUUUAAAGAAAUAAUAAACUUAUAAUAGGUGGAUUUAGGUUGUCUCCCUAACCCUUACCCAGGGGAUAGGUGAAAAUUCUAGUUUACUUCUAUAGGCCCUCUGUUGGACAUUUUUGAGCAAUUAGAUACAUGUUUUUAUGAACCCAGAAAUGAUCAUACACUUCUCGUUGACUAAACUAGAAGUUUUAACACUGAAAUUUCAACUUUAAAGUGUUUAGUCCACAGGCUGAAUCUGACAUACUGGCUAAAUCUAAUCAAUAGACGUGUUUAGUUGGAUCCAUGCUCUGUUACCUUUUUCAUUUAGUUGCUAGGAAUCAAAUUCCUCCUAAUAAUCCAGUUUCUCUUUAAAAAUUAAAGGGAAGAUUUGGGAACAUUGAGCUUGGUCUCCUGCAUAACAGGACUCAAUUAGAGCGAAAUAGUGCUGUUGCCUUUACAGAGUAGCUCACUCCAGUUCGGACCCAGCCCACUUCCCUCAGUGUGUUACCUGCCUGAUUGCUCUGGACAUUUCAAUUUGUGACCCCCAACUUCAGCUAAGAUACCACCAGAGUUUUUCUUGCUUUAUCUUUACAGGAUUCAUGUCUUCUCCGAAUUUUUAUUAUGUGUCUUCCCAGUGACCAUGGCUAUCAUGGUAAUCUGCAAAGAGAUUUAGAUUUUUUUUGCAUUCUGUGGACUAGUCCUUACUUAAGCAUUAAUUUCACCUGUAUAUGGAGAAGCUACUGUGCACAAUAGCUGUCUGAAGACUGAGUCCGUAGGCUGAUGUCUGCUGCCUUGAUAUCAGGGACCUAUAUAAGCUGCUCAUUUCUGCUUUUCACCCACUCUUUGGGUGAAGGUAACCCUUUCAGUUAUCAUCAUUGAUUUUAAAACGUGUUGUGAAAGAGGCAAACAACAACUUUGUUAUGAGGAGCAAGUGUAGAAAACUUGAUUUCUUAACAGCUACAGUGUGAGUGAAAGACCCUUAGAAAGGGAGUUAGGGACCAUGUGUUGCAGUCCUAACUCUGCACUUACUUUAAGUUCUCAGGCAUGACAACUGACUGAGUUGGUGAUGCUCAGCUUUGUAUUCUGAUUUGGAUAUUAUAUCACCUGCCUUGCCUAUCUCACAGCGUACUGAGAAACUCAAAUGUAGCAGUGUAAAUGAAAUAGCUUAAAGACCAUAAAAUCUUUACAAAUGUAAGAUAUCUAGUUCAUAGAGAAUUCUAAACUGGUAAUUUCCCUGUGACCACCAGAAUCUCAUACUGUUAAGUGCUUAGUAGUCAUUUUACCAGGUGGUGAUGUAGUUUCUAUUUUUAAAGACUAAAGAGAAAAUUCAAUUACAAUAAAAUGUGUCUUUAUUGACUGAGCUGGGCCUUAAAAUGAUAAACGAAUUUUUGCUAUCCCUUGUUUGGUGAAUAUCAGAGUUGUCUACCACUAGCUCUAAACAAGAAAUAAUAAAGUUAUAUAAAAAUGUGUUUGAUUUUUACAGGCUUAGAGGUCACUGAGACCAGCUUUAUAUUCAUUAUUUGUUAACACCAUUUUUCUUUCAUGCACUGUGGAUUCGUGAGGGUCUUUUUCCUUUUGGGCAGUCAGGAAUAUGAAUUUGUUUUAUAUUGAUCUGCUUACGGUAGUUGGUGUAACAGCGUCUUGUAGCAGACAUGCUGCUGGUCAUAUCUCAUUUUACCUUUUAUAAAAAUCAUAGUGUUUCUCAUAUGUGGCAGAAAACAUCAGUGUUUCUCCUUGAACAAUGCUGAACAAGUCAUUUGAUGUUUUCUGGCUUGGCUCUUAAAUCUUGCGUGGUGUGGAUUACAAAAAAAAAGGAGACAUUAGGGAUUCUAUCAUCAAUCUCAUUCUUCAGAGCUUUGAAAAUAAAACUUUGAAAGGCACUAGAUUUUCUACAGCCGUGGAGGUUUCUGGCAUUUUAAAUUCAUAAUGAUGAGUUGCACAAUAAUCCUUUUCAAAAAGGAAGCAGAACUCCAUUUGUUCUGUUACUUAUGGUGACCUAUAGUCAGAAUUUUAAAAGCUGUUCUGGAGUUUAAAAUGUAGAGUUUAGGACCACAGAUACAGUCUACCCUGUAAAAAAUCAUUUUUAAAAAUUUUGAUUAUUUCUUUGAACAAGCCAAGAAAUUGUUAAGAAACUUGUAUUUUAGAGAGAUCUGUUCUUUAUAAAUACUACACUAUAGGUCACAUGGAAAUUAUCCUAAUUCUAUUUAGAAAUGCCUUACUAAUCAUCAAUACUUCAUUCAGUAUUUGUUUUUCUCUUUAUAACAUCACCAACAGUUGCUGAUAAGAUUUUAUGUUUCUUAAAGUGUGUUCUGUAGAACACUGAUUCCAAGAGAGGCCUCCUCAAAG
Molecule: long non-coding RNA, 2684 nt
Organism: Callithrix jacchus (white-tufted-ear marmoset)
Lineage: Eukaryota; Metazoa; Chordata; Mammalia; Primates; Cebidae
Source: Ensembl